ACUCAAAUGAAUUGACGGGGGCCCGCACAAGCGGUGGAGUAUGUGGUUUAAUUCGAUGCAACGCGAAGAACCUUACCUACUCUUGACAUGGUGCGAAGGUUAUAGAGAUAUGACUGUGCCGAAAGGAACGCACACACAGGUGCUGCAUGGCUGUCGUCAGCUCGUGUCGUGAGAUGUUGUCUUAAGUGACGCAACGAGCGCAACCCUUGCCUUUAGUUACCAUCAUUUAGUUGGGGACUCUAGAGGGACUGCUGAUCACUGAUCAGAGGAAGGGGGGGAUGACGUCAAGUCAUCAUGGCCCUUACGAGUAGGGCUACACACGUACUACAAUGGUCGAUACAGAGGGAAGCGAUACCGCGAGGUGGAGCAAAUCCCAGAAAGCCGAUCGUAGUCCGGAUUGAAGUCUGCAACUCGACUUCAUGAAGCCGGAAUCGCUAGUAAUCGCAGAUCAGAAUGCUGCGGUGAAUACGUUCCCGGGCCUUGUACACACCGCCCGU
This 497-nucleotide ribosomal RNA is filed under the name uncultured bacterium. RNAcentral describes it as "partial 16S ribosomal RNA". It matches the Rfam family "Bacterial small subunit ribosomal RNA", at positions 899 to 1397 of the family's 1533-position model. The record is from RNAcentral.